GAUGAACGCUGGCGGCGUGCCUAAUACAUGCAAGUCGAGCGAACAGACGAGGAGCUUGCUCCUCUGACGUUAGCGGCGGACGGGUGAGUAACACGUGGAUAACCUACCUAUAAGACUGGGAUAACUUCGGGAAACCGGAGCUAAUACCGGAUAGUAUAUUGAACCGCAUGGUUCAAUAGUGAAAGACGGUUUUGCUGUUCAUUAUAGAUGGAUCCGCGCCGCAUUAGAUAGUUGGUAAGGUAACGGCUUACCAAGGCAACGAUGCGUAGCCGACCUGAGAGGGUGAUCGGCCACACUGGAACUGAGACACGGUCCAGACGCCUACGGGAGGCAGCAGUAGGGAAUCUUCCGCAAUGGCCGAAAGCCUGACGGGGCAACGCCGCGUGAGUGAUGGAGGUCUUCGGAUCGUAAAACUCUGUUAUUAGGGAAGAACAAAUGUGUAAGUAACUAUGCACGUCUUGACGGUACCUAAUCAGAAAGCCACGGCUAACUACGUGCCAGCCGCCGCGGUAA
Molecule: ribosomal RNA, 513 nt
Filed under: uncultured bacterium
Lineage: Bacteria
Description: partial 16S ribosomal RNA
Rfam family: Bacterial small subunit ribosomal RNA
Source: RNAcentral